UGUUUGUUUGCUCUAAAGAUAUUCUGAAAUGUGGAGGCUGUUAUCACUCAAACGUUAGAAGUUCUCCAUCCAUCUUUUCACAAUUACUCACAUGGAAUUCUGGUAGAAAAAAAUCCCUAUCGAGGGAGGCAAGAGUUCCCGUCUAUUCCUCCAGAGAAAGACUCCUUCAACUUUGGAUACAAAAAACUAUUGGAUAAAAAGCAGCUUCCAAUUAUGUGCCUUGGAUUUUCCUUGGGA
RNAcentral lists this long non-coding RNA (237 nucleotides) under Vulpes vulpes (red fox). Its description in RNAcentral is "lncRNA (ENSVVUG00000005923.1)". Lineage: Eukaryota; Metazoa; Chordata; Mammalia; Carnivora; Canidae. The record is from RNAcentral.